GAACGGAAAGGCUCGUUCGGGGGUACUUCGAGUGUCGUACGGGUGAGUAACACGUGGAUGAUCUGUCCUGCACUUCGGGAUAAGAUUGGGAAACUGGGUCUAAUACCGGAUAGGACCAUGGGACGCAUGUUUUGUGGUGGAAAGCUUUUGCGGUGUGGGAUGGGCCCGCGGCAUAUCAGCUUGUUGGUGGGGUGAUGGCCUACCAAGGCGAAGACGGGUAGCCGGCCUGAGAGGGUGUCCGGCCACACUGGGACUGAGAUACGGCCCAGACUCCUAGCGGGAGGCAGCAGUGGGGAAUAUUGCACAAUGGGCGCAAGCCUGAUGCAGCGACACCGCGUGGGGGAUGACGGCCUUCGGGUUGUAAACCUCUUUCACCAUCGACGAAGGCUCAGCUUUUGUUGGGUUGACGGUAGGUGGAGAAGAAGCACCGGCCAACUACGUGCCAGCAGCCGCGGUAAU
RNAcentral lists this ribosomal RNA (459 nucleotides) under uncultured bacterium. Its description in RNAcentral is "bacterial SSU rRNA". It matches the Rfam family "Bacterial small subunit ribosomal RNA", at positions 64 to 524 of the family's 1533-position model. The record is from RNAcentral.